UUGACCUCGGAUCAGGUAGGGAUACCCGCUGAACUUAAGCAUAUCAAUAAGCGGAGGAAAAGAAACCAACAGGGAUUGCUUCAGUAACGGCGAGUGAAGCGGCAACAGCUCAAAUUUGAAAUCUGGCUCUUUUAGGGUCCGAGUUGUAAUUUGUAGAGGAUGCUUCGGCGUCGGCUCCGGUCUAAGUUCCUUGGAACAGGACGUCAUAGAGGGUGAGAAUCCCGUAUGUGAUCGGUUGCCCUUGCCAUGUGAAGCUCCUUCGACGAGUCGA
RNAcentral lists this ribosomal RNA (271 nucleotides) under uncultured Cenococcum. RNAcentral describes it as "partial 28S ribosomal RNA". It matches the Rfam family "Eukaryotic large subunit ribosomal RNA", at positions 1 to 268 of the family's 3401-position model. The record is from RNAcentral. Lineage: Eukaryota; Fungi; Ascomycota; Dothideomycetes; Gloniales; Gloniaceae.